GACGGAGGAUGCAAGUGUUAUCCGGAAUCACUGGGCGUAAAGCGUCUGUAGGUGGUUCGAAAAGUCCACUGUUAAAAAUUGAGGCUUAACUUCAAAGAUGCCGUGGAAACUUUCAAACUAGAGUAUGGUAGGGGUAGAGGGAAUUUCCAGUGGAGCGGUGAAAUGCGUAGAGAUGACGGAGGAACACCGAUGGCGAAGGCAGCCCCCUGGGCUAACACUGACGCUCGAGGCACGAAAGCGUGGGGAGCAAACAGG
This 255-nucleotide ribosomal RNA is filed under the name uncultured bacterium. RNAcentral describes it as "partial 16S ribosomal RNA". It matches the Rfam family "Bacterial small subunit ribosomal RNA", at positions 524 to 776 of the family's 1533-position model. The record is from RNAcentral.